AUUGAACGCUGGCGGCAUGCCUUACACAUGCAAGUCGAACGGCAGCACGGGGGCAACCCUGGUGGCGAGUGGCGAACGGGUGAGUAACAUAUCGGAACGUGCCCUGGAGUGGGGGAGUAACUAGUCGAAAGACUAGCUAAUACCGCAUACGAUCUACGGAUGAAAGUGGGGGAUCGCAAGACCUCAUGCUCGUGGAGCGGCCGAUAUCUGAUUAGCUAG
RNAcentral lists this ribosomal RNA (219 nucleotides) under uncultured bacterium. RNAcentral describes it as "partial 16S ribosomal RNA". It matches the Rfam family "Bacterial small subunit ribosomal RNA", at positions 30 to 248 of the family's 1533-position model. The record is from RNAcentral.